GUGAGUUAGUUCAGUAGUUUGAUCCGUGGCUCAGGACGAACGCUGGCGGCGUGCCUAACACAUGCAAGUCGAACGAAGCAUUUUAAGUGAAUCCCUUCGGGGUGAAGCUUUUUAUGACUUAGUGGCGGACGGGUGAGUAACGCGUAAGUAACCUGCCUUUCAGAGGGGGAUAACAGUUGGAAACGACUGCUAAUACCGCAUAACGUAUUGAGAUCGCAUGGUCUUGAUACCAAAGCUGAGGCGCUGAAAGAUGGACUCGCGUCUGAUUAGAUAGUUGGUGAGGUAACGGCUCACCAAGUCGACGAUCAGUAGCCGGACUGAGAGGUUGAUCGGCCACAUUGGGACUGAGACACGGCCCAG
RNAcentral lists this ribosomal RNA (360 nucleotides) under uncultured bacterium. RNAcentral's name for it is "bacterial SSU rRNA". It matches the Rfam family "Bacterial small subunit ribosomal RNA", at positions 1 to 334 of the family's 1533-position model. The record is from RNAcentral.